AGCAGCCGCGGUAAUUCCAGCUCCAAUAGCGUAUAUUAAAGUUGUUGCAGUUAAAAGCUCGUAGUUGAACUUCGGGAUCGAGGGAUCGGUCAUGCCUUGGUAUGUACUGAUCUCAUCGGUUCUCACCUUCUAAAGAACCAUAAUGUCAUUCAUUUGAUGUUAUGGGGAAUUAGGACUGUUACCUUGAAAAAUUAGAGUGUUUAAAGCAGGCUUACGCUUGAAUACAUUAGCAUGGAAUAAUGAAAUAGGACAUCAGAUUCUAUUUUGUUGGUUUCUAGGAUCGAUGUAAUGAUUAAUAGGGAUAGUUGGGGGCAUUAGUAUUCAAUUG
This 328-nucleotide ribosomal RNA is filed under the name uncultured Glomeromycotina. RNAcentral describes it as "SSU rRNA". It matches the Rfam family "Eukaryotic small subunit ribosomal RNA", at positions 569 to 904 of the family's 1831-position model. The record is from RNAcentral. Lineage: Eukaryota; Fungi; Glomeromycota.